CUUACCAUGCAGUCGAACGGCAGCACGGGAGCAAUCCUGGUGGCGAGUGGCGAACGGGUGAGUAAUACAUCGGAACGUGUCCUGUAGUGGGGGAUAGCCCGGCGAAAGCCGGAUUAAUACCGCAUACGCUCUACGGAGGAAAGGGGGGGAUCUUAGGACCUCUCGCUACAGGGGCGGCCGAUGGCAGAUUAGCUAGUUGGUGGGGUAAAGGCCUACCAAGGCGACGAUCUGUAGCUGGUCUGAGAGGACGACCAGCCACACUGGGACUGAGACACGGCCCAGACUCCUACGGGAGGCAGCAGUGGGGAAUUUUGGACAAUGGGCGCAAGCCUGAUCCAGCAAUGCCGCGUGUGUGAAGAAGGCCUUCGGGUUGUAAAGCACUUUUGUCCGGAAAGAAAACUUCCUGGUUAAUACCCGGGGAGGAUGACGGUACCGGAAGAAUAAGCACCGGCUAACUACGUGCCAGCAGCCGCGGUAAUACGUAGGGUGCAAGCGUUAAUCGGAAUUACUGGGCGUAAAGCGUGCGCAGGCGGUCCGCUAAGACAGAUGUGAAAUCCCCGGGCUUAACCUGGGAACUGCAUUUGUGACUGGCGGGCUAGAGUAUGGCAGAGGGGGGUAGAAUUCCACGUGUAGCAGUGAAAUGCGUAGAGAUGUGGAGGAAUACCGAUGGCGAAGGCAGCCCCCUGGGCCAAUACUGACGCUCAUGCACGAAAGCGUGGGGAGCAAACAGGAUUAGAUACCCUGGUAGUCCACGCCCUAAACGAUGUCAACUAGUUGUCGGGUCUUCAUUGACUUGGUAACGAAGCUAACGCGUGAAGUUGACCGCCUGGGGAGUACGGUCGCAAGAUUAAAACUCAAAGGAAUUGACGGGGACCCGCACAAGCGGUGGAUGAUGUGGAUUAAUUCGAUGCAACGCGAAAAACCUUACCUACCCUUGACAUGUAUGGAACCUGGCUGAGAGGUCGGGGUGCCCGAAAGGGAGCCAUAACACAGGUG
This 996-nucleotide ribosomal RNA is filed under the name Burkholderia sp. S9I6. Its description in RNAcentral is "bacterial SSU rRNA". It matches the Rfam family "Bacterial small subunit ribosomal RNA", at positions 48 to 1040 of the family's 1533-position model. The record is from RNAcentral. Lineage: Bacteria; Pseudomonadati; Pseudomonadota; Betaproteobacteria; Burkholderiales; Burkholderiaceae.